GCAUAUGCUGACUACAUCGGCUUUAUCCUAACCCUGAAUGAAGGUGUGAAAGGGAAGAAGCUAACCUUCGACUACAAAGUCUCUGAGGUAGGCACAAGCAGGGAGCCUGCUGCAGAGCCAAGCAGGCUGAGCACAGCAGGCGGGUGCAGGCACUGCCCCAGGAUAGUGCAGUUAGCAUUCACGGCCCACAGAUCUAAUGUUUUAAACCUAUGAAUAAAGUAAUAUUUAUAACUGAAA
This 237-nucleotide long non-coding RNA is filed under the name Rattus norvegicus (Norway rat). RNAcentral's name for it is "long non-coding RNA NONRATT018011". Lineage: Eukaryota; Metazoa; Chordata; Mammalia; Rodentia; Muridae. The record is from RNAcentral.